UAAUACGUGGGGUGCAAGCGUUGUUCGGAAUUACUGGGCGUAAAGCGCGUGUAGGCGGCCAAGCGGGUCAGGUGUGAAAGCCCUCGGCUUAACCGAGGAAGUGCGCCUGAAACUAUUUGGCUUGAGUACGGGAGAGGAGGGUGGAAUUCCCAGUGUAGAGGUGAAAUUCGUAGAUAUUGGGAGGAACACCGGUGGCGAAAGCGGCUCUCUGGACCGUAACUGACGCUAAGACGCGAAAGCGUGGGGAUCAAACAGG
This 256-nucleotide ribosomal RNA is filed under the name uncultured bacterium. Its description in RNAcentral is "partial 16S ribosomal RNA". It matches the Rfam family "Bacterial small subunit ribosomal RNA", at positions 521 to 776 of the family's 1533-position model. The record is from RNAcentral.